UACGUAGGUGACAAGCGUUGUCCGGAUUUACUGGGCGUAAAGAGCGCGCAGGCGGUCGAUCAAGUCGAGUGUGAAAGCCCCCGGCUCAACUGGGGAGGGUCAUUCGAUACUGAUCGACUUGAAGGCAGGAGAGGGAAGUGGAAUUCCCGGUGUAGUGGUGGAAAUGCGUAGAUAUCGGGAGGAACACCAGUGGCGAAGGCGACUUCCUGGCCUGUUCUUGACGCUGAGGCGCGAAAGCUAGGGGAGCAAACGGGG
Molecule: ribosomal RNA, 255 nt
Filed under: uncultured bacterium
Lineage: Bacteria
Description: partial 16S ribosomal RNA
Rfam family: Bacterial small subunit ribosomal RNA
Source: RNAcentral